ACCCAUUCAUGAUGUUUUGCCUCUCUGUAG
Molecule: non-coding RNA, 30 nt
Filed under: Cricetulus griseus (Chinese hamster)
Lineage: Eukaryota; Metazoa; Chordata; Mammalia; Rodentia; Cricetidae
Source: RNAcentral